Dioscorea cayenensis subsp. rotundata (Guinea yam) is the source of this 1840-nucleotide long non-coding RNA. RefSeq lists it as uncharacterized. The transcript has 4 exons. NCBI's taxonomy places the organism in Eukaryota, Viridiplantae, Streptophyta, Magnoliopsida, Dioscoreales, Dioscoreaceae. The record is from RefSeq and is a predicted model, not a curated record.
GCACACUACAUUUCUUUUUUUUUCUUCAUCUAUAAUUAGCUCCUUGCCAACUUGACAAUGUGCAAGAUCCAUUUCUGAUGCAAUUCCUUGUUCAAGCUCAAGGCCCAGAUCUUCUAGAUUUCACUAGGGUCCAGAUUGAUGUUUCUGUGAGCACUUCCAAAGAUGAAUUGUAGGAUGUAACAAGCUGACUCCAGUCAUCUUUGACUCUCCAAACUUAUGAUGUUAAAGAUACCUUCAUUAAGUUUUCAAUAAAUGAGAGCCCUGCAGAUAUGUUCUUCAUGGAGGUUGAAUGGAAGUUUGCCCAUCACCUGUGGAAGGUAGAUGUUCUAGCUGUGAGAUGAAGGUAUAUAUUGGGUUGAACGGAGCCUGUGGGAACUGCUGAAUAUUUGUUUGGCGGCAAUGAACAACUCUGACCGCAUGGAUGAUGAUCCACCUUGCACCAACCAAGAAAGGUUAGUUUGAAACAAAAUUAUUUCAGUUUCAUUUGAAGAACCAUGCAAUUCAUUUACUGUUAAAUUAUCAUGUUUCUUUUUGAACCGCAUUAAUUCAUUUUCUAAAAAUUUUUGCAAGUCUUCUUGAAACCAUAAUUUAUUAUUCAUACAUACUCCAUCACUCUUUGGGAUUUUUUCUUUUAUUUAUUAAAUAAAUUUUAUUUAAGAGUUUACUAAUUCUAGAACUUGAAAUUGAAGAAGGUACUCCAGAUGUUUGUAGGUAGCUAGUAAAUGGAAUUGAAUGGUUAUCUCGUUGGGUUAAUAAAUGGGUCUUAAAUACACUCAACUUUUAGUAAAUGAGUCAUUACUUGCAAUUGAAUGAAGGAUGCGCCGUGUGGCUUUGCAACUCUUUCAUCUUACUCUUUCUUUAUAUAACUAAUUAAUAUUACUUCAUAUCAUAAGCACACAAUUAAUGUCCCCACUUUGAUACAUGUGAAUGCAUUCAGGUCACAACCUUGUGACCUCUCUCCUCCCUUUCAUUCUCCACUAUUAGAUUUUGAUCCACUUCUCUACAUUUUUCUUUAACUCUUCUUCACUUUGAUCUAUAAUAAGGAUAAGCCAAGUAUUGGGUUGACAUUUUAUUAGGAAAAUACAAAGGUUGACCUUGCUUGCCUUGCUAUUUAGUAGUUUUGAACUUGGGAUAUUCAUAUUUAAAUUAUUUUGUAUGGGUAGGUAUGUGAUUGUGGUAGAGAAGAAAUAUUAAUUGUUUGAGGGUUUUGAAAAAGUUAUCAGAUUAGUAGUUGAUUGAGGCUAUCCAAUCAAAGUCAAAAUGUAUUGUUGAGCUGGAGAAAUUGGAUGAGGAUUUUAAAUUGAUCCCAUUAUCUAUCACGAUUAGAUUCAUAUCAAUUCAAUUAAAUGUUUAACAUUUACGGCUCUUAUUAGUGUUUGACUUGUUAAAGCUUUCAUUAACUCAAGCACUUGGAUAAACUAAAUGCAAACAUAUGAUUCUCAUAAUGUAUUAGUAGUUUAAUGUUUUUUUCAUUGCAAUUAGUUGGUGAAUAGGAACAAGCCAUGUGCCCAUCUCUUAAUGAACUUAAUUAAAGGUAGGGUUAGAAAAUUACAAAUGCAUUCAUUGUAGAAGACUUAAAGAGCCUUUAACUUCUUCUCCAUGAACCUUUGCAUGACAUUCAAUUGAAAGUGGCCAACUCUUGAUGGGUGCUUAGUCAAAUCUCUAACUUAAUAGUUUCCAACUUGAAAUCAUUCAAUUAAGUUUUUAUUUUCAUUUUUUUUAUUUUUUAUGGUUUAUAUUGUUUGUUUGGACUGAGCUUUUGUUUGAGUGCUCUUAAUUUCCACCCACCAAGGCAAACAUCAAGUGAAUAUUUCUAAUAUUACAUGCUAGUCCAUAAACA